GCGGAUAUAGUCGAAUGGUAAAAUUUCUCUUUGCCAAGGACUUUGCCAAGGAGAAGAUGCGGGUUCGAUCCCCGCUAUCCGCC
Molecule: transfer RNA, 83 nt
Filed under: Paris fargesii
Lineage: Eukaryota; Viridiplantae; Streptophyta; Magnoliopsida; Liliales; Melanthiaceae
Description: tRNA-Gly
Rfam family: tRNA
About the family: Transfer RNA (tRNA) molecules are approximately 80 nucleotides in length. Their secondary structure includes four short double-helical elements and three loops (D, anti-codon, and T loops).
Source: RNAcentral